This 355-nucleotide transfer RNA is filed under the name uncultured Microcystis sp. Its description in RNAcentral is "partial 16S-23S ribosomal RNA intergenic spacer". The stretch from base 133 to 206 matches the Rfam family "tRNA". The record is from RNAcentral. Lineage: Bacteria; Bacillati; Cyanobacteriota; Cyanophyceae; Chroococcales; Microcystaceae.
AAGGGAGACCUAAUUCGGGUAUAAGACGAAAAAAGAGUAGUCGAAACCAAGAAUCAAUCCCAAAAGGUCGGAACGAGGUAUGUGGCUUUCAAACUAGGUUCUGGGUUCACACAAGACCUGAAUCAGGAACAAGGGCUAUUAGCUCAGGUGGUUAGAGCGCACCCCUGAUAAGGGUGAGGUCCCUGGUUCGAGUCCAGGAUGGCCCACCUGCACAGGUGGCAAAAACAAAGAAGCGAGGAAUCAGCACCUUAUCUUAUCUAUAUAUAAGAGAGAAUGCUGGCUCUGAGUAAAGAGUCCAGAGGGACCUUGAAAACUGCAUAGAGCUAGGUGAAAAAGCCAAAAAAGAAGACCGCAA